CUACGGGAGGCAGCAGUGGGGAAUCUUAGACAAUGGGCGCAAGCCUGAUCUAGCCAUGCCGCGUGAGUGAUGAAGGCCCUAGGGUCGUAAAGCUCUUUCGCCAGGGAUGAUAAUGACAGUACCUGGUAAAGAAACCCCGGCUAACUCCGUGCCAGCAGCCGCGGUAAUACGGAGGGGGUUAGCGUUGUUCGGAAUUACUGGGCGUAAAGCGCGCGUAGGCGGACCAGAAAGUUGGGGGUGAAAUCCCGGGGCUCAACCCCGGAACGGCCUCCAAAACUCCUGGUCUUGAGUUCGAGAGAGGUGAGUGGAAUUCCGAGUGUAGAGGUGAAAUUCGUAGAUAUUCGGAGGAACACCAGUGGCGAAGGCGGCUCACUGGCUCGAUACUGACGCUGAGGUGCGAAAGUGUGGGGAGCAAACAGGAUUAGAUACCCUGGUAGUCCACACCGUAAACGAUGAAUGCCAGUCGUCGGGUAGCAUGCUGCUCGGUGACACACCUAACGGAUUAAGCAUUCCGCCUGGGGAGUACGGUCGCAAGAUUAAAACUCAAAU
Molecule: ribosomal RNA, 549 nt
Filed under: uncultured bacterium
Lineage: Bacteria
Description: bacterial SSU rRNA
Rfam family: Bacterial small subunit ribosomal RNA
Source: RNAcentral